GCUGGGCAUGGUGGUGCAUGCCUGUAGUCCCAGUUACUUGGGAGGCUGAGGCAGGAGAAUCACUUGAACCCAGGAGGUGGAGGUUGCGGUGAGUUGAGUUCACACCAUUGUACUCCAGCCUGGGUGACAGAGUGAAACUCUGUCUCAA
This is a non-coding RNA of Pan troglodytes (chimpanzee), 148 nucleotides long. It matches the Rfam family "Metazoan signal recognition particle RNA". From Rfam's summary of the family: The signal recognition particle (SRP) is a universally conserved ribonucleoprotein. The record is from Rfam. NCBI's taxonomy places the organism in Eukaryota, Metazoa, Chordata, Mammalia, Primates, Hominidae.